Molecule: ribosomal RNA, 440 nt
Filed under: uncultured bacterium
Lineage: Bacteria
Description: partial 16S ribosomal RNA
Rfam family: Bacterial small subunit ribosomal RNA
Source: RNAcentral
CCUACGGGAGGCUGCAGUGGGGAAUAUUGCACAAUGGGGGAAACCCUGAUGCAGCGACGCCGCGUGAGUGAAGAAGUAUUUCGGUAUGUAAAGCUCUAUCAGCAGGGAAGAAAAUGACGGUACCUGAGUAAGAAGCCCCGGCUAACUACGUGCCAGCAGCCGCGGUAAUACGUAGGGGGCAAGCGUUAUCCGGAUUUACUGGGUGUAAAGGGAGCGUAGACGGCAGCACAAGUCUGGAGUGACAUGCCGGGGCUUAACCCCGGAACUGCUUUGGAAACUGUGCAGCUAGAGUGCAGGAGAGGUAAGUGGAAUUCCUAGUGUAGCGGUGAAAUGCGUAGAUAUUAGGAGGAACACCAGUGGCGAAGGCGGCUUACUGGACUGUAACUGACGUUGAGGCUCGAAAGCGUGGGGAGCAAACAGGAUUAGAUACCCGAGUAGUC